This 245-nucleotide ribosomal RNA is filed under the name uncultured bacterium. Its description in RNAcentral is "partial 16S ribosomal RNA". It matches the Rfam family "Bacterial small subunit ribosomal RNA", at positions 524 to 768 of the family's 1533-position model. The record is from RNAcentral.
UACAGAGGGUGCAAGCGUUAAUCGGAGUUACUGGGCGUAAAGGGCGCGUAGGUGGGUACUUAAGUCGGUUGUGAAAUCCCUGGGCUUAACCUAGGAAUUGCAAUCGAUACUGAGUAUCUAGAGUAUGGUAGAGGAAAGUGGAAUUCUCGGUGUAGUGGUUAAAUACGUAGAUAUCGAGAAGAACACCAGUGGCGAAGGCGGCUUUCUGGACCAAUACUGACACUGAAGCGCGAGAGCGUGGGGAG